AAAAAAUUAGUUAAAAUAUAACAUUAGCUUGUCAAGCUAAAAUUAUUAAUCCUUUAAUAUUUUUUG
RNAcentral lists this transfer RNA (66 nucleotides) under Sargus mactans. Its description in RNAcentral is "tRNA-Asp". It matches the Rfam family "tRNA". From Rfam's summary of the family: Transfer RNA (tRNA) molecules are approximately 80 nucleotides in length. Their secondary structure includes four short double-helical elements and three loops (D, anti-codon, and T loops). Further hydrogen bonds mediate the characteristic L-shaped molecular structure. tRNAs have two regions of fundamental functional importance: the anti-codon, which is responsible for specific mRNA codon recognition, and the 3' end, to which the tRNAs corresponding amino acid is attached (by aminoacyl-tRNA synthetases). tRNAs cope with the degeneracy of the genetic code in two manners: having more than one tRNA (with a specific anti-codon) for a particular amino acid; and 'wobble' base-pairing, i.e. permitting non-standard base-pairing at the 3rd anti-codon position. The record is from RNAcentral. Lineage: Eukaryota; Metazoa; Arthropoda; Insecta; Diptera; Stratiomyidae.